This 1445-nucleotide ribosomal RNA is filed under the name Escherichia coli. RNAcentral's name for it is "bacterial SSU rRNA". It matches the Rfam family "Bacterial small subunit ribosomal RNA". Lineage: Bacteria; Pseudomonadati; Pseudomonadota; Gammaproteobacteria; Enterobacterales; Enterobacteriaceae. The record is from RNAcentral.
CGGGUGAGUAAUGUCUGGGAAACUGCCCGAUGGAGGGGGAUAACUACUGGAAACGGUAGCUAAUACCGCAUAACGUCGCAAGACCAAAGAGGGGGACCUUAGGGCCUCUUGCCAUCGGAUGUGCCCAGAUGGGAUUAGCUAGUAGGUGGGGUAACGGCUCACCUAGGCGACGAUCCCUAGCUGGUCUGAGAGGAUGACCAGCCACACUGGAACUGAGACACGGUCCAGACUCCUACGGGAGGCAGCAGUGGGGAAUAUUGCACAAUGGGCGCAAGCCUGAUGCAGCCAUGCCGCGUGUAUGAAGAAGGCCUUCGGGUUGUAAAGUACUUUCAGCGGGGAGGAAGGGAGUAAAGUUAAUACCUUUGCUCAUUGACGUUACCCGCAGAAGAAGCACCGGCUAACUCCGUGCCAGCAGCCGCGGUAAUACGGAGGGUGCAAGCGUUAAUCGGAAUUACUGGGCGUAAAGCGCACGCAGGCGGUUUGUUAAGUCAGAUGUGAAAUCCCCGGGCUCAACCUGGGAACUGCAUCUGAUACUGGCAAGCUUGAGUCUCGUAGAGGGGGGUAGAAUUCCAGGUGUAGCGGUGAAAUGCGUAGAGAUCUGGAGGAAUACCGGUGGCGAAGGCGGCCCCCUGGACGAAGACUGACGCUCAGGUGCGAAAGCGUGGGGAGCAAACAGGAUUAGAUACCCUGGUAGUCCACGCCGUAAACGAUGUCGACUUGGAGGUUGUGCCCUUGAGGCGUGGCUUCCGGAGCUAACGCGUUAAGUCGACCGCCUGGGGAGUACGGCCGCAAGGUUAAAACUCAAAUGAAUUGACGGGGGCCCGCACAAGCGGUGGAGCAUGUGGUUUAAUUCGAUGCAACGCGAAGAACCUUACCUGGUCUUGACAUCCACGGAAGUUUUCAGAGAUGAGAAUGUGCCUUCGGGAACCGUGAGACAGGUGCUGCAUGGCUGUCGUCAGCUCGUGUUGUGAAAUGUUGGGUUAAGUCCCGCAACGAGCGCAACCCUUAUCCUUUGUUGCCAGCGGUCCGGCCGGGAACUCAAAGGAGACUGCCAGUGAUAAACUGGAGGAAGGUGGGGAUGACGUCAAGUCAUCAUGGCCCUUACGACCAGGGCUACACACGUGCUACAAUGGCGCAUACAAAGAGAAGCGACCUCGCGAGAGCAAGCGGACCUCAUAAAGUGCGUCGUAGUCCGGAUUGGAGUCUGCAACUCGACUCCAUGAAGUCGGAAUCGCUAGUAAUCGUGGAUCAGAAUGCCACGGUGAAUACGUUCCCGGGCCUUGUACACACCGCCCGUCACACCAUGGGAGUGGGUUGCAAAAGAAGUAGGUAGCUUAACCUUCGGGAGGGCGCUUACCACUUUGUGAUUCAUGACUGGGGUGAAGUCGUAACAAGGUAACCGUAGGGGAACCUGCGGUUGGAUCACCUCCUUACCUUAAAGAAGC